UGUUGUAACAUUAACUCAUAGUGUUUUGAAGAAAGUGGAAAGAGAAUUCAUUUCUUAAUUGUUACACUUUUAUCAUAAAAACAUUGUUUUUAUAUAUUUGCAUGAUGGAUUUGUUUGAAAUUACCAUGCGGUGGCCCCUAGUGAAAGUGCGCCGUAUAGCUAUAGCCUACCACUCCAAAAAGUUAACAACAGUAUAUAAUCUCAGGUAUGAUUAUUAAUCAUCAUAAGAGAAAACGGCAGACUCAGUCUUUUAUUAUUCUUAUAGGCUAAAUAUGACACCGAGGUUAAAGCGGAGAAAACAAAUGUUGAAGACGGACGCUUGAAUACACGCAGACCUCUUGCAUUUCUGUUGCGUAGCUGGAGGGAUUUACGGGGACUUAAUUCCUUAAAACUGUCCUCUCGUCCACAUGACGCUCAAACUGCAAGUGCUCAAGCUGAUAUACCCAAAUGUAUCAAGAGAUGAGUGCAUCGCAUUGCCAUGGGGCUAGAUUAAGGCCUUUUAUAAGACAUGUAGAAUACACGUGAAACCAGUGUGGAGUGGCGCAACGAGGAGGUGAGUUAGAUAGCUACCUUUAAAAAUGUUUAAAACAACACGUUGCCAAUAUCCACUUCGAGAAAUGUCUAUCGGGAUUCUUCUGUGUGGGAGGAAAGCCGACAGUAUCAUAACAGCUUUAAGUCCGUAGCCUACAUUUAAAGACAUCCUGAGAGAGAACCUGACAAGACUCGAGACGCACGGACAAAUGAACAACGGAAUGUCAUCCCAAUAAUCGAGUGCGAUCUUUUAUUGGGUUACAGAUGAAGAAGAAAAAAACCUUUUACACUUCAAGACAAGAUGGAAAGCUUCGGUUGUGCACCUGCUAUUGUGGAAUGAGAUGAUGACAGCCACCAUUAUCCUGGUCCAAAUGUUUUGCAAGCUCUGGUGGGCAAAAGCAAAGUGGACAUUAUCUGAUGUUAUCUUAUGUGAAUGUUUGGAGGAGCACAGUAGGAGUGGAUCAGUUUCUUCACAGUUCUGAAGAUUAAUACAUCUUUAGUAGCUUUUCAAUUAUGAUACCAUGUGUUGCACUUACUCAUUUAAAUUAAUGUUUGACUUGGUGUGUUACAUAUAUUGUGUUUUUCUCUUCAGAGGUUGAGUUUAGAGAUUAGAUUAAAUCAUUUAUGUGGUUGAAUGGACAUAAUUUAGCAUGAUACAUUACAAACUGACCUGCUAUAAUAUUCCCCCAAAUGUUUCUCUGAUUUGACAUAAUUGUGACAGUGUUUAAAUGCGAUAACAGAGUCAUUUUUUUGAUGAGAGGAACACUUGAAUGUGAAGGUAUAUUUGCACAAAGUAAUUACUAUGAAUAAAAGAGCUCGUUUGAUCUUUAUUGACAUUCAUAAUUUCCCGUGUGCCACAUCUUCCCGUAAGGUACAGGAAACUUAAAUGGGGUUAAAUGUUACGCGUCACGGUCCGAGAAAAUAAGGAUGUCAGAUUGGAAGGGUGGGGGAAACGGAGGAUGAUUGCACAGUACAUUUCAAGAGAUCACUAAGGUUACAGCAAUCUACAUAGAAACAGACUUGGGAUAAAAAGAGAGAAAGCACAUUAAAAUUCUCCAGUAGAGUUAUUCAUGCUGCAACAAUAUUGUACAACACCACAUUUUAAAAUACAUCUAUGUAUCAUUGUGCACUGUAAAAAAUAAUUUUCAUGAUUUAUCACUUUUUUUUCUAUUGUCUUAGAUAAUUAACGUGGUGUUCCGAUAACAUAAUAUUUUGAGUUUCUGUUGAUUAAACCAAUCGCUUUCAUUGUAUUAACUCAAUUUUUUAAUUUCAAUGAACUCAAUUUUAAGGCAACCAGGAAACUCACUUUUUUAAAGUUAAACCAACAAUUCUUUUUUACAGUGUUUACGCUUCUGAAAAAAUUACUUUUUAUGCUUCUUCCUUUACUUUGUUCUCAAGCAAGACAGUUUUUCCCUCAAUGCAAGUUUUGGUAACACUUUAUUUUACAAUGACGUUGUUACACAUAUUGCAUGUACACAGUAAAAAAAAAAAAAAAAAAAAAUUCAUGAUUUGUUUUCAACAUUUUUUCUUUUGUCAAAUCAACUUAAAUAAUUAAUGUGGUUCAGAUAACACCAUAUUUUGAGUUUCUGUUGAUUAAACCAAUCACCUUCAUUGUAUUAACUCAAAUUUUUAAUUUCAAUGAAUUCAAAAUUUUAAGCCAACCGUUUAACUUACUUUUUUUAAGUUAAACCAACAAUUUUUUUUUUUUUUUUUUUUUACAGUAGUAGUUACUUUAGUAAUAACUAUAAAUUAUGCAUAAUUACAUGCAACUAACCCUAAACCAAACCCUAAUCCUUACACUAACCCUAUAGUAAAUAUAUGUAGUUAAUUAAUAUUACUCAGUACUUAAAUGUAUAAUUACACUGUAACAAAGACACCUUAAAAUAAAGUGUAACCCAAGUUUUCAAAGUUUGUUGUACAGAAGUGUGCUCUCGAAAUUCUAACUAGCAGAAAAAGCCACAAAACCAGGACAGAAUUCUGUGCAUAUGUAUGAUGCAUUUAGUAUCUUCUGGAAAUAUUAAACGGCUAUUAAUCACCACUGUAAUUGUUUGUCUGCUGUUUACACAGGAGCCAAGCGGCAAACAAAUGGAUUCAAUUAAAACCGAUUCUUCCCUUCAAGUCAUCAAUAUGAGGCAAAUGCCAGUCCCUCUCAACUGUUUAUAUCUCUUUUGGGAAAGUGGUGGCUGUCUGUUGGGACUCCUCUCAUAAUUCUGUCAGUUGGAUGUUUCCAUUACGUUCUCUUCACGUUCCUGCCAUGUUCUUGUCCCGGCUCCAGCCUGUAGUCAGCUACCCUUCCAGCCACAGGCUGGCAGCUGUUUUUUUUUUUCUUUUUUCAAUUGUGUAUCUCUAAGGGCUUGUCUGUCAACUGGAACCCUCCCCUCCAAUUAGGAGAGUAAACACAAGACCCGUCUCUGUGUGUGUGCUUGUGUACGUGCUUAUAUAAAGUUCACAAACUGUCACUUAAAACUCCCCUCUAGUGAUAAAACAAUGCCUAGAUUCUGAUUGCCUGAUUACUCUCUCCAUCACCAAACUCCUACACUUUUAAUUGUAUAGACUGUCUCUUAACACUAAAUUGGAUUAUUGUGGCAUAAAUACAUAGUAAAAAUACUACAUACAAACAACAAAGUAUAUAUAAAUAAAGAAUAUAUAUAAAUAAAAUUUAUAUAAAUAAAAAAAGUUGUUACUUAUCUCCUGUAGAUUUGAAAGGAAACAUAUUUAUAUUUAAUAUAUUGUAGUUUCUAGACAUUUAUAUUGACUGAUUUUUCUGAGCAAGCUGGCGCUUGGUUGGUUGCGGACAUAUUUCAGUAAAAAAAGUGAAGAAAGUGUUUCUUUUCGACAUUAACAUGACAGGACACCACUCGCCACUCUCCUGGUUACCAUGGGGUACCAAUAAUGCUGAAAAGAAUGUAGAGUCUGCCAGAGUUGCAGACUGGGACAGAACGGGAUAUGCGUGUGUAUGUGUGUGUGUGUGCGCUUGACUGUGUGUGUGCUGGGGGUGGGAACACUCUCAGAAACCCCAGUGGUUACCGCCUUGCGGCUGGCAAUAGGGAUGCAGGAAUUUCACUAGACCUACUGCCCGGAAAAUGCCAGGUGGGAGACGAGGAGCGGACAGAGGGUGUGGACGAGUCACAUUAAUUGUUGGCAGGGGAGGUGGUGGAUAGGUAGCUCAGGAACUGUCAGAAGCUCAAUAGAAAAAUAGAGCAGUCAAAUCAGUUGCAGCCUGAUGUAUUUACUGUCGCUUUAAUGUCAUUUGCAGAAUGAGCAUUUCUCUUGCUCUCUAGCUAGAAUGCAAACUAAUCUCUUUUAUUUUCUUCUUUCU
This is a long non-coding RNA of Megalobrama amblycephala (Wuchang bream), 3850 nucleotides long. RefSeq lists it as uncharacterized. Lineage: Eukaryota; Metazoa; Chordata; Actinopteri; Cypriniformes; Xenocyprididae. The transcript has 4 exons. The record is from RefSeq and is a predicted model, not a curated record.